AUUGAACGCUGGCGGCAGGCCUAACACAUGCAAGUCGAGCGGUAGAGAGAAGCUUGCUUCUCUUGAGAGCGGCGGACGGGUGAGUAAUGCCUAGGAAUCUGCCUGGUAGUGGGGGAUAACGUUCGGAAACGGACGCUAAUACCGCAUACGUCCUACGGGAGAAAGCAGGGGACCUUCGGGCCUUGCGCUAUCAGAUGAGCCUAGGUCGGAUUAGCUAGUUGGUGAGGUAAUGGCUCACCAAGGCGACGAUCCGUAACUGGUCUGAGAGGAUGAUCAGUCACACUGGAACUGAGACACGGUCCAGACUCCUACGGGAGGCAGCAGUGGGGAAUAUUGGACAAUGGGCGAAAGCCUGAUCCAGCCAUGCCGCGUGUGUGAAGAAGGUCUUCGGAUUGUAAAGCACUUUAAGUUGGGAGGAAGGGCAGUAAAUUAAUACUUUGCUGUUUUGACGUACCGACAGAAUAAGCACCGCA
Molecule: ribosomal RNA, 473 nt
Filed under: Pseudomonas sp. oral taxon D11
Lineage: Bacteria; Pseudomonadati; Pseudomonadota; Gammaproteobacteria; Pseudomonadales; Pseudomonadaceae
Description: bacterial SSU rRNA
Rfam family: Bacterial small subunit ribosomal RNA
Source: RNAcentral